This 1061-nucleotide long non-coding RNA is filed under the name Macaca fascicularis (crab-eating macaque). RNAcentral's name for it is "lncRNA (ENSMFAG00000057413.1)". The record is from RNAcentral. Lineage: Eukaryota; Metazoa; Chordata; Mammalia; Primates; Cercopithecidae.
AUGGGGCAGCAGGGCCAUGGACAAGCUCUGCCAGUGGUGCCUGUGUCCAAGGCCUCUGGGCAGAUCCUGAGUGCCCAGCAGUGCACACCGGGAGUCUGGGGACCAGUAGAGCCACACGUCCGUCCCCACUCCAUUAAGCUCCCUGGCCUGGGCAGUGCCUGCAGCUGGCCACCGCUGUCUUGGCACCAUCCUUGCAGCUUCACCUUAUGCCUGUCCUUCUACUCUGGGAGGACAACCUUGCCCCCAUCACAAGAUGUGAACAGAGGUAGAGGUUGUAGGGGCCAGCGAGGCCCAGUGACCUGCCCAUAUCAAUGCUGCCACGAGGCAAGGCCCAUGCCCUCUCCCCUGCUGUUCUGUCCUGGAGCUUCCGCAGCUGCAGGAAGACAUCCCCUACCCCGCUCCCUGCAGAGGAUGCUUGGCGGUCAGACGGCGGAUCUGCAAAGGAAGGUGUACCCUUCUCAGUGUGCACAAGGGCUGCCAGGCCAACUCCACCAUCGAGAGCAGAUGCCGGCUGGGGAGAGGCCGAGCGCCGCCUGGGCCCAGUGGCUGGGGUGCUGGGAGGCAGGCUCUGCAGGUGCAGCUGGAGCUCCAAAGUGUGAGCAUUGGGCCAGGAGGACCACAGCCCGGCUGAUCCAGGGGAGAGAAGUCGUUUCUGAGAUUCUGGAAAGGACAGCCAUUGGUAAGCACCCCACAGCCACUCAUCCGUGAACUCAACCAUCCGAUCACCCAUCAGUUCAUGCAGUCAUUGGAUACAGAUUUACUGUUAUUCAUUUAUCCACUUGUUUUUGUAGAGAUGGAGUCUCACUAUGCUGCCCAGACUGGUCUCAAACACUUGGACUCGAGCAAUACUCCCACCUCAGCCUCCCAAAGCACUGGAUUACAGGCAUGACCCACCACAGCUGGCCUGGGGAGAGAUUUAUUGAGCAACUUCUAUGUGCCAGGCACUGUGUCAGAGGGAGACACAGACCAUAAACAAGGGGAUAAGUGAGGAAGAAGGAAAAUCAAUCAAUGAUUAAAAUGGCUAUGGAGAAAAAUAAAGCAGGGGAGGCCCAGUGGCUGCG